Molecule: ribosomal RNA, 483 nt
Filed under: uncultured bacterium
Lineage: Bacteria
Description: partial 16S ribosomal RNA
Rfam family: Bacterial small subunit ribosomal RNA
Source: RNAcentral
AUUGAACGCUGGCGGCAGGCCUAACACAUGCAAGUCGAGCGGAUGAAGGGAGCUUGCUCCUGGAUUCAGCGGCGGACGGGUGAGUAAUGCCUAGGAAUCUGCCUGGUAGUGGGGGAUAACGUCCGGAAACGGGCGCUAAUACCGCAUACGUCCUGAGGGAGAAAGUGGGGGAUCUUCGGACCUCACGCUAUCAGAUGAGCCUAGGUCGGAUUAGCUAGUUGGUGGGGUAAAGGCCUACCAAGGCGACGAUCCGUAACUGGUCUGAGAGGAUGAUCAGUCACACUGGAACUGAGACACGGUCCAGACUCCUAGGGGAGGCAGCAGUGGGGAAUAUUGGACAAUGGGCGAAAGCCUGAUCCAGCCAUGCCGCGUGUGUGAAGAAGGUCUUCGGAUUGUAAAGCACUUUAAGUUGGGAGGAAGGGCAGUAAGUUAAUACCUUGCUGUUUUGACGUUACCAACAGAAUAAGCACCGGCUAACUUCGU